RNAcentral lists this transfer RNA (88 nucleotides) under Deltaproteobacteria bacterium. Its description in RNAcentral is "tRNA-Ser". It matches the Rfam family "tRNA". Rfam says of the family: Transfer RNA (tRNA) molecules are approximately 80 nucleotides in length. Their secondary structure includes four short double-helical elements and three loops (D, anti-codon, and T loops). Further hydrogen bonds mediate the characteristic L-shaped molecular structure. tRNAs have two regions of fundamental functional importance: the anti-codon, which is responsible for specific mRNA codon recognition, and the 3' end, to which the tRNAs corresponding amino acid is attached (by aminoacyl-tRNA synthetases). tRNAs cope with the degeneracy of the genetic code in two manners: having more than one tRNA (with a specific anti-codon) for a particular amino acid; and 'wobble' base-pairing, i.e. permitting non-standard base-pairing at the 3rd anti-codon position. RNAcentral also lists the same sequence under 1 other name. The record is from RNAcentral. Lineage: Bacteria; Pseudomonadati; Myxococcota; Myxococcia.
GGAGAGAUGGCCGAGUGGCUGAAGGCGCUGGUUUGCUAAACCAGUGAACGUGUAAAGCGUUCCGAGGGUUCGAAUCCCUCUCUCUCCG